This 1362-nucleotide ribosomal RNA is filed under the name Triticum aestivum (bread wheat). RNAcentral's name for it is "partial small subunit ribosomal RNA". Lineage: Eukaryota; Viridiplantae; Streptophyta; Magnoliopsida; Poales; Poaceae. The record is from RNAcentral.
GGGGAUGCCGCCAUUAAGCUCUUCGGUCACACCAUCCCGCUCCUCGACACCACGGCCGAGGUUAUCACCAAGCUUGGAAAUGAUGCAAACAGCAAUGAUGUCAUGCCUUGUGUCUCAAACAAUCUUUUGAAUGUCGAAGCAACUCCUUUCUAUUCCAAGAAUAGAGAGCAGAAUGAUCAAGCUAUCAGCAAACAUGGGGUGGAAGUGAGAACUGGUUUCAAAUUUGAGGAGAUUAAAUCUGGGUUUGAUGGAUCUGACCAAGACAAGGUUCUCAAGAAGCCUGAUAUAAUCGUGCCAUGCCCUCGUUGCAAUAGCAUGGAAACAAAGUUCUGCUACUUCAACAAUUACAAUGUUAGCUAGCCUAGGCACUUCUGCAGGAAUUGCCAGAGGUAUUGGACCGCUGGUGGAAAUAUUAGAAAUGUCCCUGUAGGUUCUGGAAGACGCAGAAAUAAGCAUGCCUCUCACUUCCGCCAUGCUACGAUGUCGUGUGAUGCUAAUAUAGCUAGUCCCGGAGAUGUUUCCAAUGAGAUUCACCAUCUAGCUCUUCCACUUUUACCUCAGGUUCUUCCAGGGCCAAUUAAAGAAAAUGAAACAGUAAAGGAGUUUGGAUCUGAAGUGCCAGUUUGUAAGCCUAUGUCUUCAAUCCAUAAUAUUGAAGAACAGAAGGGUACUCACCUUGUUUCCUUGGCAUCUGGUGAUAAUAGAGAAGAACAAUCAUGUCCAUCUCCAGCGACAGUGUCAGGUUGCUCAGAAAAUCAGACGCCGGAUAGCGCAGUUAAAAAAGAGCCAAGCAAUGUGUUAGGGUACUAUAAUGGCAUCACAUUGCCUCACCCUCACGGACCUGCUUUGGUGUUUCCCUGGAGUCCUGGAUGGAACAGUAUUGCUGUGAUGGCAGCUGCUCAGUGCUCAACAGAGUCCAUUCAAGGGUUGGGUCUGCCACCGUGGGCGCCUCCAUUGAUGAUGGCAGCUCCAGGAAUUUGCACACCUGUUGUUCCCUUUCCUAUGAUGCCACCACCACUUUGGAGCUGCAUUCCUGGUUGGCCUAAUGGACUUUGGAGUUCACCAUGUCCUGGAAGUAAUGGCCCUCCAAACAAAAUCACAUGCUCAGAGGACAAUUCUCCUACACUUGGAAAGCAUUCAAGAGAAGCAGACCUGCAAGAAGAGAAUAGGGAAAACAACGUACAGGUCCCUAAAACUCUUAGAAUUGAUGACCCAGCUAAGGCCACAAAGAGUUCGGUCCGGGAUACUCUAGGCAUCAAACCUGAUGAGAAAGGCAUGGACAAGACACCAGACUCUACACAGGCUCUGCAGGCCAAUCCAGCGGCCUUUUCGCGCUCUCAGUCAUUUCAGGAGAGGACUUGA